RNAcentral lists this transfer RNA (89 nucleotides) under Agrobacterium tumefaciens. Its description in RNAcentral is "tRNA-Thr". The record is from RNAcentral. Lineage: Bacteria; Pseudomonadati; Pseudomonadota; Alphaproteobacteria; Hyphomicrobiales; Rhizobiaceae.
CGGGUUUAGCUCACUAGCGAGAGCGCUCCGUUUGUAACGGAGAGGGGCAGUCCGACGGGACUUCAGGUGCAAUUCCGGCGACCCGGCCA